RNAcentral lists this long non-coding RNA (432 nucleotides) under Physcomitrium patens. Its description in RNAcentral is "long non-coding RNA (PPAT_LNC005151)". The record is from RNAcentral. Lineage: Eukaryota; Viridiplantae; Streptophyta; Bryopsida; Funariales; Funariaceae.
AACUAUAGAAAAUUUAGUUUUAGCUUAUAUAUGAUGUCUUAGCUCCCAAAAAUCCAACUCUUUAGAUUCCAAAUGCUAACUUCAACUUCUAAUAUCUCUUUCAUCUAAGCUCAUAAUUCAUCAAGCAAUAUACGUAAAGUAUAGCCAAAAAAGUGUUUUCUCCAUUCCUAGUUGCCAAUCCUCAAUUGCUUUCCAUAUGCAUGUGUUAUAUCCAAAAGAGUGAUAGUAAGUACAAAAUCAAUGCUUCAAAUUUGAGCACCUAUAUCUCAUUUAUAAAAACUCCAAAUGACUAAAAAUUUUCACCAAAAUCAUAUCGAAGAACAUGAACUUGCAGAACUUCUAUAAAACCAUAGCCUCCAAAGCUCUAAUAUCUCUGAAAAACUGACCCUAAUCUCUAAUAUGGCCUCGAGUAGCCUCCUUGAAGCCCAUUGG